This 754-nucleotide long non-coding RNA is filed under the name Citrus maxima (pomelo). RNAcentral describes it as "long non-coding RNA (CMAX_LNC001123)". Lineage: Eukaryota; Viridiplantae; Streptophyta; Magnoliopsida; Sapindales; Rutaceae. The record is from RNAcentral.
CUUUGGUUCGUGAUCAGAAACUCCAGUGCUGUCCAGCGGCCGGAUGGGACAAUGAUAACCAUUUACAAGUUGAUGGCAGCUGCCCAAGAUAUCUGUUUGACAGAAAUAAUGGGGAUCAUCGGUUUGCAUGGAGAAAUGCUAAGUGGCCUUGGUAUUAAAAAAUAUGUGUAAGACUCAUGUUUUCUGGUCUGAUUUAAGGAGAUGCAUCAUUCAAUGGCCUUCUAUUAAUUACAAUCUGUUACCGAUAUAUAUCGAUAUAUGACAGAACUUUAUGUUUGACUUAUAAAAUCGAUCCAUCAUUUUGGCCAAUUCUACCUCAAUAGUUUGCAUAAUUUGUGAAAUUAAAGAAAUUGAUCAUUCCGUCUUUGCAUUGAAAACAUAUAAAUGCCCCUCUAUUGUCUUUUUUUUCCAGGCACUGAAGCUAUGGUGGAAAAAUGUUGCAUUUAUUCAACAUCCAAGGUAUACUAAUCCACUAUAUAGGAAGGAAGCUUUGGUUCGUGAUCAGAAACUCCAGUGCUGUCCAGCGGCCGGAUGGGACAAUGAUAACCAUUUACAAGUUGAUGGCAACUGCCCAAGAUAUCUGUUUGACAGAAAUAAUGGGGAUCAUCGGUUCGCAUGGAGAAGUGCUAAGUGGCCUUGGUGUUAAAAAAUAUGUGUAAGACUCAUGUUUUCUGGUCUGAUUUAAGGAGAUGCAUCAUUCAAUGGCCUUCUAUUCCAUACAAUCUGUUACCGAUAUAUGUGUGGUUUGCCACAU